Molecule: ribosomal RNA, 700 nt
Filed under: uncultured bacterium
Lineage: Bacteria
Description: bacterial SSU rRNA
Rfam family: Bacterial small subunit ribosomal RNA
Source: RNAcentral
CAUGCAAGUCGAACGAUGAAAGCGGGAGCUUGCUCCUGCUGGAUUAGUGGCGAACGGGUGAGUAACACGUGAGUAACCUGCCCUUGACUCUGGGAUAAGCGUUGGAAACGACGUCUAAUACCGGAUACGACCUUCGGAGGCAUCUCCUGGGGGUGGAAAGAAUUUCGGUCAAGGAUGGACUCGCGGCCUAUCAGCUAGUUGGUGAGGUAAUGGCUCACCAAGGCGACGACGGGUAGCCGGCCUGAGAGGGUGACCGGCCACACUGGGACUGAGACACGGCCCAGACUCCUACGGGAGGCAGCAGUGGGGAAUAUUGCACAAUGGGCGCAAGCCUGAUGCAGCAACGCCGCGUGAGGGACGACGGCCUUCGGGUUGUAAACCUCUUUUAGUAGGGAAGAAGCGAAAGUGACGGUACCUGCAGAAAAAGCACCGGCUAACUACGUGCCAGCAGCCGCGGUAAUACGUAGGGUGCAAGCGUUAUCCGGAAUUAUUGGGCGUAAAGAGCUCGUAGGCGGUUUGUCACGUCUGCUGUGAAAACUGGAGGCUCAACCUCCAGCCUGCAGUGGGUACGGGCAGACUAGAGUGCGGUAGGGGAGAUUGGAAUUCCUGGUGUAGCGGUGGAAUGCGCAGAUAUCAGGAGGAACACCGAUGGCGAAGGCAGAUCUCUGGGCCGUAACUGACGCUGAGGAGCGAAAGCAUG